Molecule: ribosomal RNA, 253 nt
Filed under: uncultured bacterium
Lineage: Bacteria
Description: partial 16S ribosomal RNA
Rfam family: Bacterial small subunit ribosomal RNA
Source: RNAcentral
UACGGGGGGGGCAAGCGUUGUUCGGAAUUACUGGGCGUAAAGGGUUUGUAGGUGGCUUGUUAAGUCAGACGUGAAAUCCCUCAGCUUAACUGGGGAACUGCUUCUGAUACUGGAUGGCUUGAGUUUGGGAGAGGGAUGCGGAAUUCCAGGUGUAGCGGUGAAAUGCGUAGAUAUCUGGAGGAACACCGGUGGCGAAGGCGGCAUCCUGGACCAACACUGACACUGAAAAGCGAAAGCCAGGGGAGCAAACGGG